ACGAACGCUGGCGGCGUGCUUAACACAUGCAAGUCGAACGGAAAGGCCCUGCUUUUGUGGGGUGCUCGAGUGGCGACCGGGUGAGUAACACGUGAGUAACCUGCCCUUGACUUUGGGAUAACUUCAGGAAACUGGGGCUAAUACCGGAUAGGAGCUCCUCCUGCAUGGUGGGGGUUGGAAAGUUUCGGCGGUUGGGGAUGGACUCGCGGGUUAUCAGCUUGUUGGUGGGGUAGUGGCUUACCAAGGCUUUGACGGGUAGCCGACCUGAGAGGGCGACCGGGCACAUUGGGACUGAGGGACGGCGCAGACUCCAACGGGAGGCAGCAGUGGAGAAUAUGACACAAUGGGCGGAAGCCUGAUGCAACAACGCCGCGUGCGUGAUGACGGCCUACGGGGUGUAAACCACUUUCGCCUGUGACGAAGCGUGAGUGACGGUAAUUGGUAAGAAAGCAACGGCUAACUACGUG
This 467-nucleotide ribosomal RNA is filed under the name uncultured bacterium. RNAcentral describes it as "partial 16S ribosomal RNA". It matches the Rfam family "Bacterial small subunit ribosomal RNA", at positions 29 to 507 of the family's 1533-position model. The record is from RNAcentral.